This 500-nucleotide ribosomal RNA is filed under the name uncultured bacterium. Its description in RNAcentral is "partial 16S ribosomal RNA". It matches the Rfam family "Bacterial small subunit ribosomal RNA", at positions 30 to 523 of the family's 1533-position model. The record is from RNAcentral.
AUUGAACGCUGGCGGCAUGCCUUACACAUGCAAGUCGAACGGCAGCACGGGAGCAAUCCUGGUGGCGAGUGGCGAACGGGUGAGUAAAGUAUCGGAACGUGCCCAGUCGUGGGGGAUAACGUAGCGAAAGUUACGCUAAUACCGCAUACGAUCUAUGGAUGAAGGCGGGGGAUAGCAAGACCUCGCGCGAUUGGAGCGGCCGAUAUCAGAUUAGGUAGUUGGUGGGGUAAAGGCGCACCAAGCCGACGAUCUGUAGCUGGUCUGAGAGGACGACCAGCCACACUGGGACUGAGACACGGCCCAGAAUCGUACGGGAGGCAGCAGUGGGGAAUGUUGGACAAUGGGAGCAAGCCUGAUCCAGCCAUGCCGCGUGCAGGAUGAAGGCCUUCGGGUUGUAAACUGCUUUUGUACGGAACGAAAAGGUUUGACUUAAUAAGCUGAGCUCAUGACGGUACCGUAAGAAUAAGCACCGGCUAACUACGUGCCAGCCGCCGCCGUAA